This 851-nucleotide ribosomal RNA is filed under the name Streptomyces sp. RNAcentral describes it as "bacterial SSU rRNA". It matches the Rfam family "Bacterial small subunit ribosomal RNA", at positions 81 to 942 of the family's 1533-position model. The record is from RNAcentral. Lineage: Bacteria; Bacillati; Actinomycetota; Actinomycetes; Kitasatosporales; Streptomycetaceae.
GAUUUAUGGGGUUAGUGGCGACGGGUGAGUAACACGUGGGCAAUCUGCCCUUCACUCUGGGACAAGCCCUGGAAACGGGGUCUAAUACCGGAUAACACUCUGUCCCGCAUGGGACGGGGUUAAAAGCUCCGGCGGUGAAGGAUGAGCCCGCGGCCUAUCAGCUUGUUGGUGGGGUAAUGGCCUACCAAGGCGACGACGGGUAGCCGGCCUGAGAGGGCGACCGGCCACACUGGGACUGAGACACGGCCCAGACUCCUACGGGAGGCAGCAGUGGGGAAUAUUGCACAAUGGGCGAAAGCCUGAUGCAGCGACGCCGCGUGAGGGAUGACGGCCUUCGGGUUGUAAACCUCUUUCAGCAGGGAAGAAGCGAAAGUGACGGUACCUGCAGAAGAAGCGCCGGCUAACUACGUGCCAGCAGCCGCGGUAAUACGUAGGGCGCAAGCGUUGUCCGGAAUUAUUGGGCGUAAAGAGCUCGUAGGCGGCUUGUCACGUCGGAUGUGAAAGCCCGGGGCUUAACCCCGGGUCUGCAUUCGAUACGGGCUAGCUAGAGUGUGGUAGGGGAGAUCGGAAUUCCUGGUGUAGCGGUGAAAUGCGCAGAUAUCAGGAGGAACACCGGUGGCGAAGGCGGAUCUCUGGGCCAUUACUGACGCUGAGGAGCGAAAGCGUGGGGAGCGAACAGGAUUAGAUACCCUGGUAGUCCACGCCGUAAACGUUGGGAACUAGGUGUUGGGCGACAUUCCACGUCGUCGGUGCCGCAGCUAACGCAUUAAGUUCCCCGCCUGGGGGAGUACGGCCGCAAGGCUAAAACUCAAAGGAAUUGACGGGGGCCCGCCACAAGCAGCGGAGCAUGU